Molecule: non-coding RNA, 75 nt
Organism: Myotis brandtii (Brandt's bat)
Lineage: Eukaryota; Metazoa; Chordata; Mammalia; Chiroptera; Vespertilionidae
Source: Rfam
GGCAGUUCUCAGGUGAUGCACCCCAGAAUCGGGCUCCAUCCUCUCUGGUUCUGGGUGCGUCACCUGAGAACCGCA